This 1277-nucleotide unclassified non-coding RNA is filed under the name uncultured fungus. Its description in RNAcentral is "sequence contains 18S rRNA gene, ITS1, 5.8S rRNA gene, ITS2, 28S rRNA gene". The stretch from base 401 to 1277 matches the Rfam family "Eukaryotic large subunit ribosomal RNA", at positions 1 to 961 of the family's 3401-position model. Lineage: Eukaryota; Fungi. The record is from RNAcentral.
GGAAGGAUCAUUAGAAAUACGAGAUUUGGAAGAGUCUGAGUGAUUGGACUCUCUCAAUACGUUUACGCUUGCAUAGUUUGACUGUUUGAAUGGAGAAAAUUGACAACUGUGAACAAUGGAUCUCUGGGCUCUUGCAACGAUGAAGAACGCAGCAAAAUGCGAAACGUAGUGCGAUUUGCAUGAAUCUGUGAGUCAUUGAAUCUUUGAACGCAACUUGCGCCAUUUAUGGCAUGUUCCCUUGAGUCGGUGUAACAAACUAAGACACAAUACAUGCAAGUGUAUUGAGUCUUGUGUUGGGGCAUACAAGCUUCUGUUUGUCGCCCUGAAAUGUCUGUCAUCCGCAGAGGAUUUGAGCUAUAAAGCCUUGGCUUUAAUUUCAUCUCCGAACGCGACAUCACAAUCCGCUCAAGUGGAACAGGAUCACCCGCUGGACUUAAGCAUAUCAGUAAGCGGAGGAAAAGAAACUAACAAGGAUUCCCCUAGUAACGGCGAGUGAAGCGGGAACAGCUCGAAUUUGGAAUCGCGCAAGCGAAUUGUAGACCAGCUACGCGGCUGGGCGGAAACGAAUCAAGUGUCCUGGAAAGGAUCGCCUCAGAGGGUGACAGCCCCGUGGAUUCGCGAAUGCCCGGUAUGUAGUCGGACCGAGUCGGGUUGCUUGGGAAUGCAGCCCAAAGGGGGUGGUACAAGCCAUCCAAAGCUAAAUACUGGCAAGAGACCGAUAGCAAACAAGUACCGUGAGGGAAAGAUGAAAAGAACCCUGAAAGGGGGGUGAAAAGUGCGUGAAAUUGUUCCCAGGGAAGCAAAUUCGUGUUGGAUGCGUCUGCGAAUCUGCCGUGUUUCGACACGGCGGUGAACCAGCCGCUGGUCCGAGUCGUGUCUGGCACAGCGCACACGGACCCGGCAAUGGAUUUCGGUCCAUUGUGGGUAUCCCGCGCUGUCUGGGCACAAUCCGCGACUGACAAUCCGAAUCUGACCCGUCUUGAAACACGGACCAAGGAGUCCAACAACCAUGCGAGUAUUUGGGUGGCAAACCCAGAUGCGCAGCGAAAGCGACUGUUCCAAUUCCAAUGACGGAACGGGCUGCCGGCGGAUCAACAUCCACCGACUGACCAGGAGCAUGCGUGUUGGGACCCGAAAGGUGGUGAACUAUGCCUGACUAGGGCGAAGCCAGAGGAAACUCUGGUGGAGGCUCGCAGCCGUUCUGACGUGCAAAUCGAUGGUCAAAGUUGGGUAUAGGGGCGAAAGACUAAUCGAACCGCCUAGUAGCUGGUUCCCUC